AGUCGAGAAUCUUCGGCAAUGGGCGCAAGCCUGACCGAGCGACGCCGCGUGCGGGAUGAAGGCCUUCGGGUUGUAAACCGCUGUCAGAGGGGAUGAAAUGCAGGUGGGUUCUCCCAUCUGUUUGACAUAGCCUCAGAGGAAGGACGGGCUAAGUUCGUGCCAGCAGCCGCGGUAAGACGAACCGUCCAAACGUUAUUCGGAAUUACUGGGCUUAAAGGGUGCGUAGGCGGCGCGGAAAGUUGGGUGUGAAAUCCCUCGGCUCAACCGAGGAACUGCGCUCAAUACUGCCGUGCUCGAGGGAGAUAGAGGUGAGCGGAACUUAGGGUGGAGCGGUGAAAUGCGUUGAUAUCCUAAGGAACACCGGUGGCGAAAGCGGCUCACUGGAUCUCUUCUGACGCUGAGGCACGAAAGCUAGGGUAGCAAA
Molecule: ribosomal RNA, 424 nt
Filed under: uncultured Planctomycetaceae bacterium
Lineage: Bacteria; Pseudomonadati; Planctomycetota; Planctomycetia; Planctomycetales; Planctomycetaceae
Description: bacterial SSU rRNA
Rfam family: Bacterial small subunit ribosomal RNA
Source: RNAcentral